RNAcentral lists this ribosomal RNA (253 nucleotides) under uncultured bacterium. RNAcentral's name for it is "partial 16S ribosomal RNA". It matches the Rfam family "Bacterial small subunit ribosomal RNA", at positions 524 to 776 of the family's 1533-position model. The record is from RNAcentral.
UACAGAGGGUGCAAGCGUUACUCAGAAUUACUGGGCGUAAAGCGUGCGUAGACGGUUACAUAAGUCAGAUGUGAAAGCCCCGGGCUCAACCUGGGAAUUGCAUUUGAGACUGCGUAGCUAGGGUGCGGAAGGGGGAAGCGGAAUUUACGGUGUAGCGGUGAAAUGCGUAGAUAUCGUAAGGAAGACCAGUGGCGAAGGCGGGUCUCUGGACAGUUCCUGACGCUGAGGCACGAAGGUCAGGGGAGCAAACGGG